UAUGAAAAUCCGAAAUGGGCAUUCGGAGCGUUGAAAAACAAUAACGAUCACAGUAAGGUCAAUGGUGGAGAAAGCGAUGUGUUUAUGUUUGGAAGAUAGACACGCGGAUUAUAAAAACGAUGUCGCGAGUGAGGUAGACAGUUAGUCGCUGUUGGACGCCCGAAGUAGACGUGUCAUCGCCACUCGCGCAGAAAGUUGGUUUCUAACGAAAGUUGUGACCAUACUACAAAGAUAAUUUCGGUAAAUGCGGAUGCGGUACCGGAGGAUCCGGUUCGGGCUGAAUGUAGUUAUCUCGAAGGUCGGAUGAAGCGGACUGUGAAGAUAGUUUCCGUAGAUGCGGAUGGUGAACCGGAGGAUCCGGUUCGGGCCGAGUGGGGUCGGCUCGAAAAAAUGUAAGCUGAAUGUGGCCGACCCCUGCGGUAUUUCGGUGAGUGAGAAAAAUGGAUAUCAAAUUUCUAAGGUAACGGGAACAGCGAUUUAUGAUGGUGGG
This is a long non-coding RNA of Harpegnathos saltator (Jerdon's jumping ant), 490 nucleotides long. RefSeq lists it as uncharacterized. The record is from RefSeq and is a predicted model, not a curated record. The transcript has 4 exons. Lineage: Eukaryota; Metazoa; Arthropoda; Insecta; Hymenoptera; Formicidae.